ACGGGAGGCAGCAGUGGGGAAUAUUGGACAAUGGGGGAAACCCUGAUCCAGCGACGCCGCGUGAGUGAAGAAGUAUUUCGGUAUGUAAAGCUCUAUCAGCAAGGAAGAAAAUGACGGUACUUGACUAAGAAGCUCCGGCUAAAUACGUGCCAGCAGCCGCGGUAAUACGUAUGGAGCAAGCGUUAUCCGGAUUUACUGGGUGUAAAGGGAGCGUAGACGGUUUGCCAAGUCUGAUGUGAAAGGUGGGGGCUCAACCCCCAAACUGCAUUGGAAACUGGUAGACUAGAGUGUCGGAGAGGUAAGUGGAAUUCCUAGUGUAGCGGUGAAAUGCGUAGAUAUUAGGAGGAACACCAGUGGCGAAGGCGGCUUACUGGACUGUAACUGACGUUGAGGCUCGAAAGCGUGGGGAGCAAACAGGAUUAGAUACCCUGGUA
Molecule: ribosomal RNA, 434 nt
Filed under: uncultured Lachnospiraceae bacterium
Lineage: Bacteria; Bacillati; Bacillota; Clostridia; Lachnospirales; Lachnospiraceae
Description: partial 16S ribosomal RNA
Rfam family: Bacterial small subunit ribosomal RNA
Source: RNAcentral